This 414-nucleotide ribosomal RNA is filed under the name Triticum aestivum (bread wheat). RNAcentral's name for it is "partial small subunit ribosomal RNA". The record is from RNAcentral. Lineage: Eukaryota; Viridiplantae; Streptophyta; Magnoliopsida; Poales; Poaceae.
AUGACAUGGGUGGUAGGACGAGGAGCAGCAGGCAGGAGGGGAACGGCUCGGGCGGUUGUGGCAUGGGAGAGGCCAUGCCAGAGAAGUUUCGGGCAUGCCAGAGAAGUUGAUUUUUAUCUUAAUAUUUUCAUUGUCUAUCACAUCUUAUUUACUGUGCUUGUUACAGUCGCAUUGGCUGAAAGAAGUUUUUUGAAGUUGUUAUUGAAGAAUUAUUUGAGGUCAACAAUGACUCAAAAGAGGUUAAAUGGUUUGGCUACAUUAUGCAUCGAGAAGAAAUUAUUGGAUGGGAUUGACAUCGACCCCAUCAUAUGUGACUUUGCAUCGAGGAAUGAUAGAAGAAAUUUUAAGGUAAUAUGUAUAAAUUAUUUGAUACACAUACUGAUUUUGGAUGCAUUUAAGUGUUAUUGGCAAUAA